This 468-nucleotide ribosomal RNA is filed under the name uncultured bacterium. RNAcentral's name for it is "partial 16S ribosomal RNA". It matches the Rfam family "Bacterial small subunit ribosomal RNA", at positions 28 to 507 of the family's 1533-position model. The record is from RNAcentral.
GACGAACGCUGGCGGCGUGCUUAACACAUGCAAGUCGAACGGAAAGGCCCUGCUUUUGUGGGGUGCUCGAGUGGCGAACGGGUGAGUAACACGUGAGUAACCUGCCCUUGACUUUGGGAUAACUUCAGGAAACUGGGGCUAAUACCGGAUAGGAGCUCCUGCUGCAUGGUGGGGGUUGGAAAGUUUCGGCGGUUGGGGAUGGACUCGCGGCUUAUCAGCUUGCUGGUGGGGUAGUGGCUUACCAAGGCUUUGACGGGUAGCCGGCCUGAGAGGGUGACCGGCCACAUUGGGACUGAGAUACGGCCCAGACUCCUACGGGAGGCAGCAGUGGGGAACAUUGCACAAUGGGCGGAAGCCUGAUGCAGCAACGCCGCGUGCGGGAUGACGGCCUUCGGGUUGUAAACCGCUUUCGCCUGUGACGAAGCGUGAGUGACGGUAAUGGGUAAAGAAGCACCGGCUAACUACGUG